UCCAUUCGACCCGUCUUGAAACACGGACCAAGGAGUCUAACAUGUGUGCGAGUCGGCGGGUUUGAAAACCUGUGAGGCACAAGGAAGCUGACGGGCGAGAUCCCCUCCCUUAGGGGGGUGCAUCGUGGACCGACCUUGAGCUUAUGUGAAGGGUUCGAGUACGAGCACACCUGUUGGGACCCGAAAGAUGGUGAACUAUGCUUGAGCAGGGCGAAGCCAGAGGAAACUCUGGUGGAGGCUCGUAGUGAUACUGACGUGCAAAUCGUUCGUCUGACUUGUGUAUAGGGGCGAAAGACUAAUCGAACCAUCCAGUAGCUGGUUUCCUCCGAAGUUUCCCUCAGGAUAGCUGGAGCUCACGCGUGAGUUUUUUCGGGUAAAGCAAAUGAUUAGAGGCAUCGGGGGCGUAACACCCUCGACCUAUUCUCAAACUUUAAAUAGGUAAGAGGGUGUGGCUGCUCCAUUGAGCCAUGCCCUGGAACCGAGACCUCCAAGUGGGCCAUUUUUGGUAAGCAGAACUGGCGAUGCGGGAUGAACCGAAAGUUGAGUUACGGUGCCAAAUUGCGCUAACCUAGAUCCCACAAAGGGUGUUGGUUGAUUAAGACAGCAGGACGGUGGUCAUGGAAGUCGAAAUCCGCUAAGGAGUGUGUAACAACUCACCUGCCGAAUCAACUAGCCCCGAAAAUGGAUGGCGCUGAAGCGCGCAACCUAUACUCGACCGUCGGAGCAAUUGCCUGGCUCCGAUGAGUAGGAGGACGCGGGGGUCGUUGAGAAACCUCGGGCGUGAGCUUGGGUGGAUCGGCCCCCGGUGCAGAUCUUGGUGGUAGUAGCAAAUAUUCAAAUGAAAACUUUGAAGACUGAAGUGGGGAAAGGGUCCAUGUGAACAGCACUUGGACAUGGGUUAGUCGAUCCUAAGAGAUGGGGAAGCCUUGUAUCAAGGGUGCACUCUGCACGAGCAUCGAAAGGGAAUCGGGGUAAUAUUCCCGAACCGCGACAUGGCGGCGGGCGGCAACGUUAGGAAAUCCGGAGACGUCGUCGGGGGCCCCGGGAAGAGUUAUCUUUUCUUUUUAACAGCUUGCCCACCCUGGAAUCGGUUCACCCGGAGAUAAGGUCCAGCAGCUGGAAGAGCACCGCACGUCUUGCGGUGUCCGGUGCGCCCUCGGCGGCCCUUGAAAAUCUGGAGGACCGAGUACCGUUCAUGCCCGGUCGUACUCAUAACCGCAUCAGGUCUCAAAGGUGAACAGCCUCUGGUCAAUAGAACAAUGUAGGUAAGGGAAGUCGGCAAAACGGAUCCGUAACUUCGGGAAAAGGAUUGGCUCUGAGGGCUAGGCCUAGGGGUCUGCGCCCUCAACUCGUGGGCUGUCGGCAGUCUGCCCGAGCUGCUCUCGCAGCGAGGGCGGGCAGUCGCGUGCCGAUUGGGCUACGGGCGUAGAAUGCCCCCUGCCGGGGGCUUUUCCCUAGGCGUCGAACAGUCGACUCAGAACUGGUACGGACAAGGGGAAUCCGACUGUUUAAUUAAAACAAAGUAUUGUGAUGGUCCCUGCGGAUGCUGACGCAAUGUGAUUUCUGCCCAGUGCUCUGAAUGUCAAAGUGAAGAAAUUCAACCAAGGGUGGGUAAACGACGGGAGUAACUAUGACUCUCUUAAGGUAGCCAAAUGCCUCAUCAUCUAAUUAGUGACGCGCAUGAAUGGAUUAACGAGAUUCCCACUGUCCCUAUGUACUAUCUAGCGAAACCACAACCAAGGGAACGGGCUUGGCCAAAUCAGCGGGGAAAGAAGACCCUGUUGAGCUUGACUCUAGUCCGACUUUAUGAAAUGACUUGAGAGGUGUAGAAUAAGUGGGAGUCAUUUUCGGCGCAAGUGAAAUACCACUACUUUUAAUGUUAUUUUACUUAUUCCGUGGGGCGGGUCGAUCCGGGCGGAAGACAUUGGCAGGUGGGGAGUUUGGCUGGGGCGGCACAUCUAUUAAAAGAUAACGCAGGUUUCCUAAGAUGAGCUCAAUGAGAACAAAAAUCUCGUGUGGAACAAAAGGGUAAAAGCUCAUUUGAUUUUGAUUUUCAGUACGAAUACAAACCGUGAAAGCGUGGCAUAUCAAUCCUUUAGAUUUUCGGAAUUUGAAGCUAGAGGUGUCAGAAAAGUUACCACAAGGAUAACUGGCUUGUGGCAGCCAAGCAUUCAUAGCGACGUUGCUUUUUGAUCCUUCGAUGUCGGUUCUUCCUAUCAUUGUGAAGCAGAAUUCACCAAGUGUUGGAUUGUUCACCCACCAAUAGGGAACAUGAGCUGGGUUUAGACCACCGUGAGAUAGGUUAGUUUUACCCUACUGAUGAACCGCACCGCAAUAGUAAUUCAACUUAGUACGAGAGGAACC
This 2364-nucleotide ribosomal RNA is filed under the name Pinus taeda (loblolly pine). Its description in RNAcentral is "eukaryotic LSU rRNA". It matches the Rfam family "Eukaryotic large subunit ribosomal RNA", at positions 639 to 3045 of the family's 3401-position model. Lineage: Eukaryota; Viridiplantae; Streptophyta; Pinopsida; Pinales; Pinaceae. The record is from RNAcentral.